Molecule: ribosomal RNA, 324 nt
Filed under: uncultured eukaryote
Lineage: Eukaryota
Description: partial 18S ribosomal RNA
Rfam family: Eukaryotic small subunit ribosomal RNA
Source: RNAcentral
CCCUUAGAUGUUCUGGGCCGCACGCGCGCUACACUGAUGCAUUCAACGAGUUUCUUCCUGGUCCGAGAGGAAUGGGUAACCUUUUGAAAGUGCAUCGUGAUAGGGAUAGACUAUUGCAAUUAUUGGUCUUCAACGAGGAAUUCCUAGUAGACGUAGUUCAUCAGACUGCAUCGAUUACGUCCCUGCCCUUUGUACACACCGCCGGUCGCUCCUACCGAUUGAAUGCUCAGGUGAGCCAUUCGGACUUUCAUCAUGCUGGUUUCCAGUUUUGAUGAAGGAAAGUCUUGCGAACCUUAUCAUUUAGAGGAAGGAGAAGUCGUAACA